AUAAGAAGAACGAGAACAAGAAAGUGGCUGUCAACGA
This 37-nucleotide small RNA is filed under the name Arabidopsis thaliana (thale cress). RNAcentral describes it as "ATSL128480". Lineage: Eukaryota; Viridiplantae; Streptophyta; Magnoliopsida; Brassicales; Brassicaceae. The record is from RNAcentral.